GGACGAGCAGUGUUUAUGACACGACAGGCUGCAACUCUGUAAACGUAAUUUUAUUACCUUGUCCU
This 65-nucleotide transfer RNA is filed under the name Saron marmoratus. Its description in RNAcentral is "tRNA-Cys". Lineage: Eukaryota; Metazoa; Arthropoda; Malacostraca; Decapoda; Hippolytidae. The record is from RNAcentral.